UCCCUCAUAGCUCAGUCGGUAAAGAAUCUGCCUGCAAUGCAGGAAACCCAGGUUCGAUUCCUGGGUCGGGAA
This 72-nucleotide transfer RNA is filed under the name Bos taurus (domestic cattle). It matches the Rfam family "tRNA". From Rfam's summary of the family: Transfer RNA (tRNA) molecules are approximately 80 nucleotides in length. Lineage: Eukaryota; Metazoa; Chordata; Mammalia; Artiodactyla; Bovidae. RNAcentral also lists the same sequence under 7 other names. The record is from Rfam by way of RNAcentral.